CAGACCAGCAGGGCAGUGGCAAAGACGUGGGGGCGCUGCUGCUCACACACUGCCGUGGCCAGUGGUGGGUGGCCUGGUGGCUGGGCUGGGGGCUGCCGUGCAUUUCACAAUGGAAGUGUCUCUAAAAGCCUGGGGACCUUGGUCUGAUGGGUAAUUAGCUGUGAAUAAGUGUUCGGAAGAGGAGUUUUUGAAAGUUUGACAAAACCUUGGGGAAGAAACCCAUGGUAAUGAGGGCAAUGGAUGUCAGCAUAGCUGUGUUUUCUUUUAAUUAUAGCAGAGUCAGCGUGCAUUCUAAUAAACACAUUUGAAAAUCUGCCUUCCAAAAAAAGAAAAGCCUCACUGUGAGUAUAUAAAGAAGAUGUGAUUGAUUAUUGGACUUGUGUAAAAGAACUUCUAUUUGUCCAGUUACGUGGACUGCUUUCGGAGUGGGCAGCGACUCCUCGGGACGGCACUGCGCUGCAGCAGCUCCGCACCCUGGCCAGGUAUACCUCCACAGGAAGUUAGUAUACUCACACAGAAGAUAAUUCUUUGGAAGAAAAGGCCAACUGUAGAAUCUGCUAGAAACACAGUAAUGAUAAUUCUCCACAGAAGCACAAGGAGGUCCUUCCCAAAAUACAAAUAUUCAAGAAGAAACGUGACCACCUGGAAUAGUAACAGUUGAAAUAAUGAAAAGGUCAAUGACAUUGAUAAUAUUUCAGUAAAUAAUAAUAAUCUUUAGAAACCAUCAACCUCCUCCAAGAGGAAACCACACCCCUCAGAUAUCACCAGGGGAUUCCACUGUUUCAAAACAGAUUGGAAGUUANNNNNNNNNNUAUGCCUGUUCUAUGCUUUUCCUCUCCUGUUAAGCUGUCUGUUGUUAGCUCAUUUCUGCAAUGAACCAUUAGAGAGGACAGUGAAAGCUUUCCUUCCAGCCAUACAACAGAAUUAUAAAGCAGAAAAGUUUAGACGGAAUUUCCUAUUUAAGUGCCAAAAUUUCAUACUCCACUUCUGAUAAAGACCAUAAAGUUUUAAAAAAACUUAUUUUUGACCCAAAGCAACAAACAUCAACCUGUUUAAUUUUCAUAAUGUAAAUGGCGGAUAUUUUUAUAAUUCUUACGCUAAUAAAUGACUUCCCUGAUGUUUUUGGUAAAACAGAUAAUUCAUAAUAAAAUCCAGAACCAUGAAUUGUUUGAAAUAAUUUCUUCUUUUGAUUAGAAGUAUACCUCCACAGGAAGUUAGUAUACUCACACAGAAGAUAAUUCUUUGGAAGAAAAGGCCAACUGUAGAAUCUGCUAGAAACACAGUAAUGAUAAUUCUCCACAGAAGCACAAGGAGGUCCUUCCCAAAAUACAAAUAUUCAAGAAGAAACGUGACCACCUGGAAUAGUAACAGUUGAAAUAAUGAAAAGGUCAAUGACAUUGAUAAUAUUUCAGUAAAUAAUAAUAAUCUUUAGAAACCAUCAACCUCCUCCAAGAGGAAACCACACCCCUCAGAUAUCACCAGGGGAUUCCACUGUUUCAAAACAGAUUGGAAGUUA
This 1516-nucleotide long non-coding RNA is filed under the name Aotus nancymaae (Ma's night monkey). RNAcentral describes it as "lncRNA (ENSANAG00000039321.1)". The record is from RNAcentral. Lineage: Eukaryota; Metazoa; Chordata; Mammalia; Primates; Aotidae.